UCUUCAUUUCACACACUCUCUCACCGGUCAGAGAGACGAGAGAGAGAGUGUGUGUGAAAUGAAGAAA
This 67-nucleotide microRNA precursor is filed under the name Pristionchus pacificus. Its description in RNAcentral is "mir-8364 microRNA precursor family". It matches the Rfam family "mir-8364 microRNA precursor family". The record is from Rfam by way of RNAcentral. Lineage: Eukaryota; Metazoa; Nematoda; Chromadorea; Rhabditida; Neodiplogasteridae.